UACGUAGGGUGCAAGCGUUGUCCGGAAUUAUUGGGCGUAAAGAGCUCGUAGGCGGUCUGUCGCGUCGGCUGUGAAAACCCGGAGCUCAACUCCGGAUCUGCGGUGGGUACGGGCAGACUAGAGUGAUGUAGGGGAGACUGGAAUUCCUGGUGUAGCGGUGAAAUGCGUAGAUAUCAGGAGGAAUACCUAUGGCGAAAGCAGGGUAUCUGGGCCAUCACUGACGCUGAGCUGCGAAAGCUAGGGGAGCAAACAGG
RNAcentral lists this ribosomal RNA (254 nucleotides) under uncultured bacterium. RNAcentral's name for it is "partial 16S ribosomal RNA". It matches the Rfam family "Bacterial small subunit ribosomal RNA", at positions 524 to 776 of the family's 1533-position model. The record is from RNAcentral.